AUUGAACGCUGGCGGCAGGCCUAACACAUGCAAGUCGAGCGGAUGAAGGGAGCUUGCUCCUGGAUUCAGCGGCGGACGGGUGAGUAAUGCCUAGGAAUCUGCCUGGUAGUGGGGGAUAACGUCCGGAAACGGGCGCUAAUACCGCAUACGUCCUGAGGGAGAAAGUGGGGGAUCUUCGGACCUCACGCUAUCAGAUGAGCCUAGGUCGGAUUAGCUAGUUGGUGGGGUAAAGGCCUACCAAGGCGACGAUCCGUAACUGGUCUGAGAGGAUGAUCAGUCAAACGGGAAAGGAAAAACAGCCAAGCCUCCAAGGGGAGGCAGAGGGGGGAAAUAUUGGAAAAGGGGCAAAGGCGUUACCAACCCGGGAGGGGGGGGGAAGGAGGGUCUGUGGAUGUAAAAGAAUUUUAGGUGGGGAGGAGGGGAAGAAAGUAAAAACCUGGUUGUUUUGACUUAACAAACAAAAAAAACACGGGCAACCUUCGUG
RNAcentral lists this ribosomal RNA (484 nucleotides) under uncultured bacterium. RNAcentral's name for it is "partial 16S ribosomal RNA". The stretch from base 18 to 362 matches the Rfam family "Bacterial small subunit ribosomal RNA", at positions 45 to 393 of the family's 1533-position model. The record is from RNAcentral.